UACGGAGGGUGCGAGCGUUAAUCGGAAUUACUGGGCGUAAAGGGUGCGUAGGUGGUUGUUUAAGUUAGUUUUGAAAUUCCUGGGCUUAACCUGGGCUGGAGGACUAAUACUGAGUGACUAGAGUAUAGGAGAGGGUAGUGGAAUUUCCGGUGUAGCGGUGAAAUGCGUAGAGAUCGGAAGGAACACCAGUGGCGAAGGCGGCUACCUGGCCAGAUACUGACACUGAGGCACGAAAGCGUGGGGAGCAAACAGGAUUAGAUACCCUGGUAGUCCACGCUGUAAACGAUGUCAACUAGCCGUUGGUCAUAUAGAUGUGAUUAGUGGCGCAGCAAACGCGAUAAGUUGACCGCCUGGGGAGUACGGUCGCAAGAUUA
RNAcentral lists this ribosomal RNA (374 nucleotides) under uncultured prokaryote. RNAcentral describes it as "bacterial SSU rRNA". It matches the Rfam family "Bacterial small subunit ribosomal RNA", at positions 524 to 896 of the family's 1533-position model. The record is from RNAcentral.